RNAcentral lists this ribosomal RNA (465 nucleotides) under uncultured bacterium. RNAcentral's name for it is "partial 16S ribosomal RNA". It matches the Rfam family "Bacterial small subunit ribosomal RNA", at positions 28 to 507 of the family's 1533-position model. The record is from RNAcentral.
GACGAACGCUGGCGGCGUGCUUAACACAUGCAAGUCGAACGGAAAGGCCCUGCUUGCAGGGUACUCGAGUGGCGAACGGGUGAGUAACACGUGGGUGAUCUGCCCUGCACUUCGGGAUAAGCCUGGGAAACUGGGUCUAAUACCGGAUAGGAGCCAUUUUUAGUGUGAUGGUUGGAAAGUUUUUUCGGUGUAGGAUGAGCUCGCGGCCUAUCAGCUUGUUGGUGGGGUAAUGGCCUACCAAGGCGGCGACGGGUAGCCGGCCUGAGAGGGUGGACGGCCACAUUGGGGCUGAGAUACGGCCCAGACUCCUACGGGAGGCAGCAGUGGGGAAUAUUGGACAAUGGGCGCGAGCCUGAUGCAGCGAAGCCGCGUGGGGGAAGACGGGCUUCGGGUUGUAAACUCCUUUCGCUAGGGACGAAGCUUUUUGUGACGGUACCUAGAUAAGAAGCGCCGGCUAACUACGUG